Molecule: long non-coding RNA, 253 nt
Filed under: Mytilus galloprovincialis (Mediterranean mussel)
Lineage: Eukaryota; Metazoa; Mollusca; Bivalvia; Mytilida; Mytilidae
Source: RNAcentral
CUUUACAUAUUACUAAUAUAGUACAAUGCUGUUGAUUAAAAAUUACACCACUCCAGACCCUUUUGUUUUCCACAUAAUUAAUAUUGCCAAUAAUUAAGAAGUUCCGGGUCGAAUCCGAUACCGAUACCAAUAGUAUAUUCACCUGUUACCUAUUAACUUAUCUGUACGUUCCGCAUCUGACAGGCGCACCACCAAACGCUGUAUUUAGGAUUUUGCUAUAUACACGGGUCGUAAUCACAGGGUUGACACUACU